GAUGAAGAACGUAGUAAAAUGCGAUAAGUAAUGUGAAUUGCAGAAUUCAGUGAAUCAUCGAAUCUUUGAACGCACAUUGCGCCCGCCAGUAUUCUGGCGGGCAUGCCUGUUCGAGCGUCAUUUCAACCCUCAAGCACAGCUUGGUGUUGGGACUCGCGUUAAUUCGCGUUCCUCAAAUUGAUUGGCGGUCACGUCGAGCUUCCAUAGCGUAGUAGUAAAACCCUCGUUACUGGUAAUCGUCGCGGCCACGCCGUUAAACACCAACUUCUGAAUGUUGACCUCGGAUCAGGUAGGAAUACCCGCUGAACUUAAGCAUAUCAAUAAGCGGAGGA
This 332-nucleotide unclassified non-coding RNA is filed under the name soil metagenome. RNAcentral's name for it is "partial contains 5.8S ribosomal RNA, internal transcribed spacer 2, and large subunit ribosomal RNA". The stretch from base 1 to 120 matches the Rfam family "5.8S ribosomal RNA", at positions 35 to 154 of the family's 154-position model. The record is from RNAcentral.